This 253-nucleotide ribosomal RNA is filed under the name uncultured bacterium. Its description in RNAcentral is "partial 16S ribosomal RNA". It matches the Rfam family "Bacterial small subunit ribosomal RNA", at positions 524 to 776 of the family's 1533-position model. The record is from RNAcentral.
UACAGAGGUCUCAAGCGUUGUUCGGAUUCAUUGGGCGUAAAGGGUGCGUAGGCGGCGCGGUAAGUCGGGUGUGAAAUCUCGGAGCUUAACUCCGAAACUGCAUUCGAUACUGCCGUGCUUGAGGACUGGAGAGGAGACUGGAAUUUACGGUGUAGCGGUGAAAUGCGUAGAUAUCGUAAGGAAGACCAGUGGCGAAGGCGGGUCUCUGGACAGUUCCUGACGCUGAGGCACGAAAGCGUGGGGAGCAAAAGGG